CCUACGGGAGGCAGCAGUGGGGAAUAUUGCACAAUGGAGGAAACUCUGAUGCAGCGACGCCGCGUGAGUGAAGAAGUAAUUCGUUAUGUAAAGCUCUAUCAGCAGGGAAGAUAGUGACGGUACCUGACUAAGAAGCUCCGGCUAAAUACGUGCCAGCAGC
Molecule: ribosomal RNA, 160 nt
Filed under: uncultured bacterium
Lineage: Bacteria
Description: partial 16S ribosomal RNA
Rfam family: Bacterial small subunit ribosomal RNA
Source: RNAcentral